RNAcentral lists this ribosomal RNA (469 nucleotides) under uncultured Enterobacteriaceae bacterium. Its description in RNAcentral is "bacterial SSU rRNA". It matches the Rfam family "Bacterial small subunit ribosomal RNA", at positions 316 to 776 of the family's 1533-position model. The record is from RNAcentral. Lineage: Bacteria; Pseudomonadati; Pseudomonadota; Gammaproteobacteria; Enterobacterales; Enterobacteriaceae.
GAACUGAGACACGGUCCAGACUCCUACGGGAGGGCAGCAGUGGGGAAUAUUGCACAAUGGGCGCAAGCCUGAUGCAGCCAUGCCGAGUGUAUGAAGAAGGCCUUCGGGUUGUAAAGUACUUUCAGCGGGGAGGAAGGCGAUAAGGUUAAUAACCUUGUCGAUUGACGUUACCCGCAGAAGAAGCACCGGCUAACUCCGUGCCAGCAGCCGCGGUAAUACGGAGGGUGCAAGCGUUAAUCGGAAUUACUGGGCGUAAAGCGCACGCAGGCGGUCUGUCAAGUCGGAUGUGAAAUCCCCGGGCUCAACCUGGGAACUGCAUUCGAAACUGGCAGGCUAGAGUCUUGUAGAGGGGGGUAGAAUUCCAGGUGUAGCGGUGAAAUGCGUAGAGAUCUGGAGGAAUACCGGUGGCGAAGGCGGCCCCCUGGACAAAGACUGACGCUCAGGUGCGAAAGCGUGGGGAGCAAACAGG